Molecule: ribosomal RNA, 253 nt
Filed under: uncultured bacterium
Lineage: Bacteria
Description: partial 16S ribosomal RNA
Rfam family: Bacterial small subunit ribosomal RNA
Source: RNAcentral
UACGUAGGGUGCAAGCGUUGUCCGGAAUUACUGGGCGUAAAGGGCGCGUAGGCGGCCUUCUAAGUCGAACGUGAAAUCCCCGGGCUCAACCCGGGAACUGCGUCCGAUACUGGGAGGCUUGAAUCCGGGAGAGGGAUGUGGAAUUCCAGGUGUAGCGGUGAAAUGCGUAGAUAUCUGGAGGAACACCGGUGGCGAAGGCGGCAUCCUGGACCGGUAUUGACGCUGAGGCGCGAAAGCCAGGGGAGCAAACGGG